Molecule: long non-coding RNA, 1296 nt
Organism: Olea europaea var. sylvestris
Lineage: Eukaryota; Viridiplantae; Streptophyta; Magnoliopsida; Lamiales; Oleaceae
Exons: 2
Source: RefSeq, a predicted model, not a curated record
UUUGGAUGGAGUCGGGUUAGCUGAGCUGUUUGGAAGUGAGUGGCUUUUCAAAUGACAUAUUUUCAUCCAAGAGAUAAGUGUUCCUUUCUCAUUUCUAUUUCCAGAAUAUUCAUUUGGUAGCCUGUUUCUUUCUAGAUAUGGAAACGGUUCUUAAUGUCUAUGGAGAAUUGAGUACAAAUUGUGGGAAAUUUGUUCUCUUUUCCGUCUAAGCUUCAAAUCUGGCAAUUUGUUCUCUAUUUAUAUCUAUAGUUCAUUCUUCAAAUUGUGGAAACUUUUUCACUGUGGCUUACAGUUUUGGGAAUGUCUGAAGAUUGUAAUAGAUCUUGUAAAUUGUGUUGCAUUUGCCCUCUUAUGUUGUCUUUUUCUAGAUCUAAAAACUUUUCUUCUAGAUAUGCUUUUCACGUUGAAAAUCUUUGGAGAAAUGGGUACAAAUUGUGGGUAUUUUUGUAGUGAAACCUUUGGACUAUUCAUGGCAAGAUGAGUGGGCAAUGAAGAAAUUGAAUAGCAGUCGGAUCCCCUUGCUUAUUACAGUCUAUAUAUAUUCGUAUAUCAAAUCAUUUUUUGUUUCUUUCUAAUUUUUUGUAUAAAUAUGUGCUUAAAUUGUGAUUUUUGAGUUGAUAAUGGAAAAUUAUUGAUUGAAUUGCAGAUAGAUUAAUAUUUUCGUUGAGAAUUUUUCGAUGCAUGUGUAAUUUUCAUAAAUGAGCAUUGACAAAAUUUUAAACCAAUACUAUUAUCCUUGCAGUUUAACAAUUUUUCUGCAAUUUCUCUUUGGUCUUGUAUAUUUUAUAAAUGCUUUAUUUUUGAAACUCUGUACUCUGAACCUUUCGAAUUCAGGUUGAAAACCUAUCUAUUUUGCAAUUUUCAUAUAUAUACUGUGAAGCUCAUUUUGGGUAAAGGUAACCCCCAUUUUGCGUAUAACUAUAGAUUGCUCAUGAAGCCCUACAAGGAGAGGGAAAAGUCCUUUAAAUGUAGAUUUUUCAUCCAUUUUUGUAAUAUUUUUUUGCUUUAUUCGAUAAUGAUAUCCUGUUGUUCAUUGAACAGUCUGUAGAAAACAGCAGCAAUACAUGGAGAGGGGAGAGUUUUCUGCUUAUUUAAACACAUCUGGAUUUUAUUCCUGAGAGCAAUUCAAUGUCCCCUUUGUGCUUCAUGUACACCGAGCUUGAGCUCGGUGUACAUGCCCCUCACAUGGGGGCCCAGCUCGGAAUAAAGACAAAUAAAAAAAUGGGCGGGUCCCGCCCCUUGAGAGGGGAGUGUCAACCGGACUGUACACUUUUUAAUGUACAAAUGGUAAAUUCC